GACGAACGCUGGCGGCGUGCCUAAUACAUGCAAGUAGAACGCACAGUUUAUACCGUAGCUUGCUACACCAUAGACUGUGAGUUGCGAACGGGUGAGUAACGCGUAGGUAACCUGCCUGGUAGCGGGGGAUAACUAUUGGUAACGAUAGCUAAUACCUCAUAAUAUUAAUUAUUGCAUGGUAAUUUAUUGAAAGGUGCAAUUGCACCACUACCAGAUGGACCUGCGUUGUAUUAGCUAGUAGGUGAGGUAACGGCUCACCUAGGCGACGAUAGGUAGCCGACCGGAGAGGGCGAUCCGCCACACUGGGACGGAGACACGGCCCAGACUCCCACGGGAGGCAGCAGUAGGGAAUCUUCGGCAAUGGGCGGAAGUCUGACCGAGCAACGCCGCGGGAGUGAAGAAGGUUUUCGGAUCGUAAAGCUCUGUUGUAAGAGAAGAACGGGUGUGCGAGUGGAAAGUUCACACUGUGACGGUAACUUACCAGAAAGGGACGGCUAACUACGUG
RNAcentral lists this ribosomal RNA (505 nucleotides) under uncultured bacterium. RNAcentral's name for it is "partial 16S ribosomal RNA". It matches the Rfam family "Bacterial small subunit ribosomal RNA", at positions 28 to 507 of the family's 1533-position model. The record is from RNAcentral.